GCCGUCGUGGUGGAAUUGGUAGACACGCUAGGUUUAGGUCCUAGUAGCCGAAAGGCUGUGGGGGUUCAAGUCCCUCCGACGGCACCA
This 87-nucleotide transfer RNA is filed under the name Salinisphaera shabanensis. RNAcentral's name for it is "tRNA-Leu". It matches the Rfam family "tRNA". From Rfam's summary of the family: Transfer RNA (tRNA) molecules are approximately 80 nucleotides in length. Their secondary structure includes four short double-helical elements and three loops (D, anti-codon, and T loops). Further hydrogen bonds mediate the characteristic L-shaped molecular structure. tRNAs have two regions of fundamental functional importance: the anti-codon, which is responsible for specific mRNA codon recognition, and the 3' end, to which the tRNAs corresponding amino acid is attached (by aminoacyl-tRNA synthetases). tRNAs cope with the degeneracy of the genetic code in two manners: having more than one tRNA (with a specific anti-codon) for a particular amino acid; and 'wobble' base-pairing, i.e. permitting non-standard base-pairing at the 3rd anti-codon position. Lineage: Bacteria; Pseudomonadati; Pseudomonadota; Gammaproteobacteria; Salinisphaerales; Salinisphaeraceae. The record is from RNAcentral. RNAcentral also lists the same sequence under 5 other names.